AUUUUUAUAGUGUAUAUAACACAUAACAUUUUCACUGUUAAUAAGAUAAGUCUAAAAAUA
RNAcentral lists this transfer RNA (60 nucleotides) under Chiropterargas boueti. RNAcentral's name for it is "Argas boueti tRNA-Glu". The record is from RNAcentral. Lineage: Eukaryota; Metazoa; Arthropoda; Arachnida; Ixodida; Argasidae.